Molecule: long non-coding RNA, 614 nt
Organism: Magnolia sinica
Lineage: Eukaryota; Viridiplantae; Streptophyta; Magnoliopsida; Magnoliales; Magnoliaceae
Exons: 3
Source: RefSeq, a predicted model, not a curated record
UCGACCUUACCAUAGCACUCCGUAAGGUCGAGCGCUGUCAGCUUGCUGGCCGUCGGAUGGAGGCAGUUGCAUCCAACGGCUGAUGUUUUAACGUCACUUGAAAGAGGAAAACUGGUGAUACCGGUUUCAUUGUGACCAAGCGUGUACACGGCCGUUUAAAAGGGUGUUUUUCCCUGGCCGUCCAACCCUCUUUCUCUCCCUAAACUUCUACGAGCAGCCGUCUCCCUCAAUCCCUGCCACCAGACGCCCUGUGCAGCCUCUCUCUCUCUCUCUCAAUGCAACCCUGGCCGUGCAGCCCUCUCUCUCCCUUCUUCAAUCCCUCCUUCAACGAAGCAACCAUAGCAUGGGUCCAGAUCUGGAUCUGGAUUCAACGGUUCUGGCUCGGGAUUAGGACAUGGUUCCAGAUCAGGAAGCAGUUAUAGGUCAGGCUAUGUCAUAUCUUUCCAUAUCAGUGGGUAGGUCCCAUCCAUGAUAGGGUGGGACACUCAAUUCUUUUGUCCUCAUGCUGUUCUCCUAAUGUCAUUUUCCUCGAAAAUCCUAAGCUUGUAUCCUUCCUAUAAUAAAAACCCCUAGGGGAAUUGUUCUUAGUCUGUGAUCUGUGCUAAUUGUGCUAC